Drosophila obscura is the source of this 495-nucleotide long non-coding RNA. RefSeq lists it as uncharacterized. NCBI's taxonomy places the organism in Eukaryota, Metazoa, Arthropoda, Insecta, Diptera, Drosophilidae. The record is from RefSeq and is a predicted model, not a curated record. The transcript is spliced from 2 exons.
CGUAAAUAUAUCCUAUAUAUUGUCACAUUUUCUAGCCACCUGCUGCCGUUUUGUAAUUUGCUUAAUUUGCUUCACCUGUCAGAAAUGGAUUUGUUACGGCGAUAAAAUGAUCAGGAAGAGCCGAAGCUUUCCGAUACUGGUACAACUUUUGGCACAGAGCGUGGCACAGAACGGUCGGGAUUUUUUCCAAUUAGGUAUUCCCAAGUAUUAAGUGAUUCGCAGAGGCAAAGCAUCCAUCAUACGGUGUGCAGUGAAAUGGUAUCGGCAUGGAACUAUUUUUAUUUUGCGGUAAUCGUCUGCAUUGCAUUUGUCUGCAGUGUUAAAGCGGUCGAUGUGCAUUGUCCCCCUUGGCCGAGAUGUGGAUACCUUAAUCUUUGCUGCCAGCGUACCAAAAAUAAAAUAAGAUCGCAGUUGGCUGCAUUGAAAGACAACGAGCAUGAUACGGAAAUAUAGUUAAAAUAUUUGUAAAUAUAUAUAAUAAAGAUAUAAAGCUAA